RNAcentral lists this ribosomal RNA (488 nucleotides) under uncultured eukaryote. RNAcentral describes it as "SSU rRNA". It matches the Rfam family "Eukaryotic small subunit ribosomal RNA", at positions 608 to 1117 of the family's 1831-position model. The record is from RNAcentral.
AGUUGUUGCAGUUAAAAAGCUCGUAGUUGAAGUUCUGAUUGUUCGGGCCUCGCGCUUUAUAGCCGAGGAACCGACAGUCAUCCGCUUGCAAAUAUAUGUUCGCCUUUAACCGGGUGGCUAUAUGAGUAAGCAAUUUACCUUGAGAAAAACAGAGUGUUCCAGGCAGGUUUGUCCGGAAUGCAUUAGCAUGGAAUAAUAGAAUAUGACUGAAGUCGAUUUAUUGGUUUAAGGCUUUAGUAAUGAUUAAUAGGAACAGUCGGGGGCAUUGGUACUUGACAGUCAGAGGUGAAAUUCUAGGAUUUGUCAAAAGACUAACAAAAUGCGAAAGCAUUUGCCAAGGAUGUUUUUCAUUAAAUCAAGAACGAAAGUUAGGGGAUCAAAGACGAUCAGAUACCGUCCUAGUCUUAACUAUAAACUAUACGACUCGGAUUCAGAUGAAUCAAAAAGUUCAUUUGGACCGUAGGAGAAAUCAAAGUUUUGGGUUCUGG